Molecule: ribosomal RNA, 519 nt
Filed under: uncultured eukaryote
Lineage: Eukaryota
Description: partial 18S ribosomal RNA
Rfam family: Eukaryotic small subunit ribosomal RNA
Source: RNAcentral
AGGGCACCACCAGGAGUGGAGCCUGCGGCUUAAUUUGACUCAACACGGGAAAACUUACCCGGCCCGGACACUGGAAGGAUUGACAGAUUGAGAGCUCUUUCUUGAUUCAGUGGGUGGUGGUGCAUGGCCGUUCUUAGUUGGUGGAGCGAUUUGUCUGGUUAAUUCCGAUAACGAACGAGACUCUAGCCUGCUAAAUAGCUACUGAUCCGCAGCGUCGUGCCUAUAUGCUUCUUAGAGGGACGGGCGGCUUCCAGUCCAACGAAAAUGAGCAAUAACAGGGCUUGGGAUGCCCUUAAAAUGCCCGGGGGCCCCCCCCCCCCUACACUUGAAGAAACCAAGGGGGCUUUUUUCCCUGGGCCGGAAGGCCGGGGGAAACCAAAAAAACUCCCUUCCGGAUGGGGAUUGAGUUUUGUAAACUUUCCCCCUGAAAAAAAGAAAUUCCCGAAAGGGGGGGGCAUAAACCCCCGGUUGAUUACGUCCCGGCCCUUUGUAAAAAAGGGGGGGGGUUUUUUAGGUUUG